Molecule: ribosomal RNA, 400 nt
Filed under: phytoplankton environmental sample
Lineage: Eukaryota
Description: partial small subunit ribosomal RNA
Rfam family: Eukaryotic small subunit ribosomal RNA
Source: RNAcentral
AGCUCCAAGAGCGUAUAUUAAAGUUGUUGCAGUUAAAAAGCUCGUAGUUGGAUUUCUGGUACAAUGCGCCUGGCCCGCGGCAGUAAUGCCUGUGAGUGCCGGUGCGCGUUGACCAUCCUUCUAGAAAACGUUUCUACCAUUUACUUGGAUGGAUUCGCGAUCUAGAUCUUUUACUUUGAAAAAAUUAGAGUGUUCAAAGCAGGCUAUUGCUGUGAAUACAUUAGCAUGGAAUAAUAAUCUAGGACUUCGGUUCUAUUUUGUUGGUUUCUAGAAUUGAAGUAAUGAUUGAUAGGGAUAGUUGGGGGUGCUAGUAUUGGCCGGCCAGAGGUGAAAUUCUUGGAUUCGGUCAAGACUAACUUAUGCGAAAGCAUUCACCAAGGAUGUCUUCUUUAAUCAAGAA